RNAcentral lists this transfer RNA (77 nucleotides) under Verrucomicrobiota bacterium. RNAcentral's name for it is "Verrucomicrobia bacterium tRNA-Val". It matches the Rfam family "tRNA". From Rfam's summary of the family: Transfer RNA (tRNA) molecules are approximately 80 nucleotides in length. The record is from RNAcentral. Lineage: Bacteria; Pseudomonadati; Verrucomicrobiota.
GGGCGGUUAGCUCAGUUGGCUAGAGCACCUGGUUUACACCCAGGGGGUCGGAGGUUCGAGUCCUCUACCGCCCACCA